CUUAGGUCAUUAUACCAGUCUCAGUUCAGUCUCAGUUUUGGAAUUGCAAUGUUUGAUCACCCUGCAAAUUAUUGUCCCAGGGAACUUUUGUACUUCAAAAGACUUCUGAUCAAAGGGUAAUAUUAAAUAAUCUAACAUAUGGGGUAUGCACAGUUCUGCUCUUAUUAAAGUGAGAUCUUUAAAUAUAUUUCCCAAGCUUGUUAUUCAGGCAUAUACAUAAGCUUCCUCUUGGGUUAAACCCAAGGAUCUUUUUCAGAGGGUAUGAGAAAGCUUUAAAAUUUAAAAGGAGAAAGAUUUAUAGUAAAACGGUGAGAUUUGAUUGUUUAUUCAAUAUGAGAAUUUAUGAAAUAACUGAUAAUAUUUCGUCAUGAUCAGUUUUUUAAAGUUAUUUGUCUCUAUUUAAGGAUAACAAAGCUGAUGUAAUUUUAAAAUACAAUGCAGACGAAGCUAGAAGUCUGAAGGCAUAUGGCGAGCUUCCAGAGCAUGGUAAUGUCUGAGUUACUAUAUUAACUUGUCAUGUGGUAUUUAGGUUAUCUGUUGUUUAGGUGAAGGAACUGUGGAUUUUGCUUAUUUACUUUAGUGCUUACAUUUUUAGUUUUAAGUAUGCCUGCCUAUGCUUCAUAAUACUAGAUACUAUAAGAAAGAAAUUACUGGAAUUCUGUUCCUAAUAAAUAUGGUGAGGAGUUAUAUUCUAUAAGCUUUGGACUUCCACAUAAUGCUAACUAAAGGAAUAAUUUUGUUAUAGUAUCUAUUAAAAUUACUGUGUCCUUAGCUAAAAUCAAUGAAACUGAUACAUUUGGUCCUGGAGAUGAUGAUGAAAUUCAGUUUGAUGACAUUGGAGAUGAUGAUGAAGAUAUUGAUGACAUCUAAAUUGAACUCAACAUUUUACAUUCCAUCUUUUCUGAAGAUUGUCCUACAAUUUGGAUUUUGACCAUGACAAAGAAGAUUAAAAUUUCAUUAGCAUGAAUGCAAUUUGUUAAAGCAGACUGAUUUGUUUCUAAGAUAUUUUUGGUUUUUUUAAAACUGAUAAUAAUGCUGAAUUAUAUUAAGUGAGAUGUUAAGCCCACUUUGUUCUUUUAAUGUAAUGGAGCUUAUGGGUAGAAGACCAUGUCUACUAAUUACAGAAAAAAAAAAAAAAUGCAUUGCUGCUUUUCCUAC
Molecule: small RNA, 1158 nt
Filed under: Pongo abelii (Sumatran orangutan)
Lineage: Eukaryota; Metazoa; Chordata; Mammalia; Primates; Hominidae
Description: processed transcript
Source: RNAcentral